This 548-nucleotide ribosomal RNA is filed under the name uncultured bacterium. RNAcentral describes it as "bacterial SSU rRNA". It matches the Rfam family "Bacterial small subunit ribosomal RNA", at positions 358 to 916 of the family's 1533-position model. The record is from RNAcentral.
GGAAUAUUGCGCAAUGGGCGAAAGCCUGACGCAGCAACGCCGCGUGAGGGAUGAAGGCCUUCGGGUUGUAAACCUCUUUUAGCAGGGAAGAAGCGAAAGUGACGGUACCUGCAGAAAAAGCACCGGCUAACUACGUGCCAGCAGCCGCGGUAAUACGUAGGGUGCAAGCGUUAUCCGGAAUUAUUGGGCGUAAAGAGCUCGUAGGCGGUUUGUCGCGUCUGCUGUGAAAAUCUGAGGCUCAACCUCGGACUUGCAGUGGGUACGGGCAGACUAGAGUGCAGUAGGGGAGAAGGGAAUUCCUGGUGUAGCGGUGGAAUGCGCAGAUAUCAGGAGGAACACCAGUGGCGAAGGCACUUCUCUGGGCUGUAACUGACGCUGAGGAGCGAAAGCGUGGGGAGCGAACAGGAUUAGAUACCCUGGUAGUCCACGCCGUAAACGUUGGGCGCUAGAUGUGGGUCACAUUCCACGUGAUCCGUGUCGCAGCUAACGCAUUAAGCGCCCCGCCUGGGGAGUACGGCCGCAAGGCUAAAACUCAAAGGAAUUGACGG